CCGGUGCACGGUAGUCGGUGCGCGGGGUCCGGCGCGCGGUGGCCGGUGCGCGGAGCCGGGCGGAGCGGGGCUCGCGGAGGGAGGAGUUUUCCCAGAAGGGGACUGACGGGAAAGCACGGGCGAUCCCUAUUCCUGGCGGGGUGAGUCAACGGGAGAGGAAGGGAGCCGGGGGAACCGAGCGCGCGCAGGAGGGCGGAAGGGAGGGAAGUCGGAGGGGGGGCAAGGCGGGCCCGGAGCGCAGGUCCAAGGCCGGAAGAAGAGAGCGCCAGGGGAGCGGCAGAGGGGCGCGGCGCCGGGGCCACUCACCUGGGGGACGCGGCCGCACGGCGGAGCCGGGAGCUGCGGGCCCUCCCCGCCCCCGGCCUGGGGUUUGAAAGGAGGAAGCCUGGAAUACACUGUGAAAAUAGUGAAGGAGAAGACCUCAGCACCUGCCCUUCCAGAGCUUUCCAUUUAGCUGGGAAAACUCGGUCUGUGGAGGAGCAUCGCCAGAAAGUGGGGAGUCCGGGUCUUAAACACGCCAGGCCACACCGUGUGGCAUGUGGGAUCUUAGUUCCCCCACCGGGGACCGAACGCAUGCCCCCUGCAGUGGAAGCACGGAGUUCUAACCACAGAACGGCUAGGGAAGUCCCAAUCCUGUUUGUUUUUUUUUUAAUUUUUAUUUUAUAUUAGAGUAUAGCUGAUUUACAAUGCUGUGUCCUGCUUUUGAAAAAUAAAUGGAAAAGAAUCUUACAGUGAGUAUCUCUGACAGGUUGAAGAUUAAGGGGCCUUCUUUCUCAUUUUUUAAAAAUUAAUUUUAAAAAAUUAAUUAAAUUUAUUUAUUUUUGGCUGCGUUGGGUCUUUGUUGCUGUGCACAGGCUUUCUCUAGUUGCUGCGAGAGGGGGCUACUAUUCGUUGCGGUACGCGGGCUUCUCAUUGCGGUGGCUUCUCUUGUUGCGGAGCACGGGCUCUAGGCGUCCGGGCUUCAGUAGUUGUGGCACGCGGGCUCAGUAGUUGUGGCUCACGGGCUCUAGAGCACAGGCUCAGUAGCUGUGGCGCACGGGCUUAGUUGCUCCGCGGCAUGUGGGAUCUUCCCGGGCCAGGGCUCGAACCCGUGUCCCCC
Orcinus orca (killer whale) is the source of this 1099-nucleotide long non-coding RNA. RefSeq lists it as uncharacterized. The transcript is spliced from 3 exons. The record is from RefSeq and is a predicted model, not a curated record. Lineage: Eukaryota; Metazoa; Chordata; Mammalia; Artiodactyla; Delphinidae.